CAUUAACGAGUUAGGGUCUCUCCAGGCCCGACCUCCCAACCCUUUGUUUACCGAACCUCUGUUGCUUCGGCGGACCCGUCUCACGACCGCCGGGGGACCGCCGACAGGCGUCCUCUGGCCAGCGUCCGUCGAUAGCCAAACAUUUAAACCCUGAAUAAAUCGUGUCUUGUGCCUAAUUCUAUGAUUAAAUCAAAAACAAAACUUUCAACAACGGAUCUCUUGGUUCUGGCAUCGAUGAAGAACGCAGCGAAAUGCGAUAAGUAAUGCGAAUUGCAGAAUUCCAGUGAGUCAUCGAAUCUUUGAACGCACAUUGCGCCCUUUGGUAUUCCGAAGGGCAUGCCUGUUCGAGCGUCAUUAUCACCCCUCAAGCCCCGUGCUUGGUGUUGGACGGGUUGGUCGGGGCUUCCCUCGACCCCUCCUAAAGACAAUGACGGCGGCCUGUGGUUCCCCCGGUACACUGAGCUUCUUAACCGAGCACGUACCGGACGAGGGCGCCCAGGCCACGGUCCUCUCCUUUCACCAGGAAUCUUUUUUUUCAAGGUUGACCUCGGGUCAGGUAGGAAUACGC
Molecule: ribosomal RNA, 568 nt
Filed under: uncultured Ascomycota
Lineage: Eukaryota; Fungi; Ascomycota
Description: eukaryotic LSU rRNA
Rfam family: 5.8S ribosomal RNA (bases 200-354)
Source: RNAcentral